Molecule: small nucleolar RNA, 66 nt
Organism: Trichomycterus rosablanca
Lineage: Eukaryota; Metazoa; Chordata; Actinopteri; Siluriformes; Trichomycteridae
Product: small nucleolar RNA SNORD82
Exons: 1
Source: RefSeq, a predicted model, not a curated record
UGCACGUGUGAUGAAUCUACAGGGACUUAAUACUGAACCUGUGAUGAUCUGUGUGAUCUGAUGUGC